GCCAGACUCCUACGGGAGGCAGCAGUGGGGAAUAUUGCACAAUGGGGGGAACCCUGAUGCAGCGACGCCGCGUGGGUGAAGGAGCGUUUCGGCGCGUAAAGCCCUAUCGGCAGGGAAGAAGGAGGACGGUACCUGACUAAGAAGCCCCGGCUAACUACGUGCCAGCAGCCGCGGUAAUACGUAGGGGGCAAGCGUUAUCCGGAUUUACUGGGUGUAAAGGGGGCGCAGACGGCAGUGCAAGCCAGGAGUGAAAGCCCGGGGCCCAACCCCGGGACUGCUCUUGGAACUGCGCGGCUGGAGUGCAGGAGGGGCAGGCGGAAUUCCCGGUGUAGCGGUGAAAUGCGUAGAUAUCAGGAGGAACACCGGCGGCGAAGGCGGCCUGCUGGACCGCGACUGACGUUGAGGCUCGAAAGUGUGGGGAGCAAACAGGAUUAGAUACCCCUGUAUU
RNAcentral lists this ribosomal RNA (448 nucleotides) under uncultured bacterium. RNAcentral describes it as "partial 16S ribosomal RNA". It matches the Rfam family "Bacterial small subunit ribosomal RNA", at positions 330 to 794 of the family's 1533-position model. The record is from RNAcentral.